Molecule: ribosomal RNA, 725 nt
Filed under: Flexibacteraceae bacterium MOLA 389
Lineage: Bacteria; Pseudomonadati; Bacteroidota; Cytophagia; Cytophagales; Cytophagaceae
Description: bacterial SSU rRNA
Rfam family: Bacterial small subunit ribosomal RNA
Source: RNAcentral
GAUAGCCCGGAGAAAUUCGGAUUAAUACCCCAUAGAUUAUCAGAUGGCAUCUGAAGAUAAUUAAAGAUUUAUCGGUACAAGAUGGGCAUGCGUGACAUUAGUUAGUUGGUAAGGUAAAGGCUUACCAAGACGAUGAUGUCUAGGGGUUCUGAGAGGAUGAUCCCCCACACUGGUACUGAGAUACGGACCAGACUCCUACGGGAGGCAGCAGUAGGGAAUAUUGGUCAAUGGGCGAGAGCCUGAACCAGCCAUGCCGCGUGCAGGAAGACGGCCUUCUGGGUUGUAAACUGCUUUUCUACGGGAAGAAAAUGCCCUUGCGAGGGAAAUUGCCGGUACCGUAGGAAUAAGCACCGGCUAACUCCGUGCCAGCAGCCGCGGUAAUACGGAGGGUGCAAGCGUUGUCCGGAUUUAUUGGGUUUAAAGGGUGCGUAGGCGGAUCUUUAAGUCAGUGGUGAAAGCCUGCAGCUUAACUGUAGAACUGCCAUUGAUACUGGAGGUCUUGAGUACACUAGAGGUAGGCGGAAUUUAUGGUGUAGCGGUGAAAUGCAUAGAUACCAUAAAGAACACCUAUAGGCGUAGGCAGCUUACUGGAGUGUAACUGACACUGAGGCACUGAAUAGCAUGGGGAGCGAACAGGAUUAGAUACCCUGGUAGUCCAUGCCGUAAACGAUGAUUACUCGAUGUUGGCUGAUAUUNUGUCACGCGUCACACAGCNAAAGCGUUAA